This 351-nucleotide ribosomal RNA is filed under the name uncultured bacterium. Its description in RNAcentral is "bacterial SSU rRNA". It matches the Rfam family "Bacterial small subunit ribosomal RNA", at positions 70 to 422 of the family's 1533-position model. The record is from RNAcentral.
CAUGGUGUGUAGCAAUACACAUUGAUGGCGAGUGGCGGACGGGUGAGUAACGCGUAGGAAUCUGCCUUGAAGCGGGGGACAACUAGAGGAAACUCUAGCUAAUACCGCAUAAUAUCGAAAGAUCAAAGUUGCCCGUAAGGGUGACACUUCAAGAGGAGCCUGCGUCCGAUUAGCUAGUUGGUAGGGUAAAAGCCUACCAAGGCGAUGAUCGGUAACUGGUCUGAGAGGACGACCAGUCACACUGGGACUGAGACACGGCCCAGACUCCUACGGGAGGCAGCAGUGGGGAAUAUUGGACAAUGGGCGCAAGCCUGAUCCAGCAAUGCCGCGUGAGUGAUGAAGGCCUUCGGG